CUCUAAUCUCCCCUCCAAAGAAUAUCAAUGGCAAGAAGAAGGUUGAAGAUGGCUCCCACAAUCACAAGAUUGUUAAAACAACUUCUAAAGAAAACUCAAGAGAGAAAUCUUGGAGAAAACUCAAAGAAAAUUCUGCUCUCAACAAAUCUGAAAUUUUAAUAAUAAUGAUAAGUGUUUAACAAGGUGGACAGCCAUGCCUUUAAAUAGGCCUUAUAACUAGUCCUAAUCUAAUUAGAAAACUAAAAUAAAAAAAACUCCUAAUUAUUUUAAUAUGGAAAUUCGGUCAAAGGUCAUUUUAUCUAGGACUCUUGGACUGAAUAUUGACAUAAAAAUUUAAACUAAGUAAAUAAAUAAAUAAAUAAAUAAAAAUAAAACUUUACAACUUGGGCCACUUUGACAAUUUGGCCUGAUUUUCAACUAAGUAUGGAUGGAUUUCUUGAUUGGGCUGGGAAUUUGCUUAUUGGGCCUCGCCUUCAAGAAUUUGGGCUUUUGUGACUCGUAUCAUUCCCCCCUUCCUCAAAAAGAUUCGUCCUCGAAUCUAAAAAAUCAAAUGAACUCGACUUUCCUCUAUCGAACGGGACUAAUGGCAAUUGAGUCCACUGAAAAGAAUAGCCAUGAGAUAGUAAAUAGCAACGGAAACAAGCUUGUAGUCCAAUCAUAAGCAUAACAGAACAAGUAUAACGCAUGUGAAUGGACAGAUUCAGAUUACCAUGCAAACAAUCUAAUUUACUCACCACUGCCUCGUCAAAUAUUUGAAACAAAGAUGGACAUGUUUUAAGGCAUUCAGUCGUCUCACAUUGUUCCCACAAACCAUGAAUAAAUUGCGAGUAAUAAAUCAAAUGGUAAACAUAAUCGUCACAAGUAGGUAUUUGAAAAGAUUCACAUGGUUCACAGAGUUGCAUAAUCAUACCAUGCAUUAAUCGACGGUCUAUAGAUUCACUCACACAUGCAUUAUCAAAAACAAGAAUCUUUUUAUCAACCAUCAAAACAGAUAGAUCAUCAAUAAAUAAAAUAGGACAGUCAAGUACGUUUCGAUCUAAGUGUUCAUCAACACGAUCUUUAUCACUAUCCGAGGAGUACAAAAGUGUUUCAAAGGUUUCAAGCAUCUUACCUCGAUAAGCAGAAGAAUAAGGGUCGAUUUUACCUUUUUCAUUUAAAACAAACCUUCGCUCAUCGGGGGCAUAGUGUAGUCGAAUCUCCGUUGUUGAGUUAACCUUUGUCAAAUGGAACUCAAACUUCAUGUACAACCACAUAAACUGUUUAAGGCACGAAUAUAAAUUGAAAACAAAUUUGGAAAAUUUCGUUACCUUAUUCUCCAAAACAGAUUUGGACAAAUUCGAGGAUUUUACACAAGGUAAAUCAAGAGAAUAACAAAUCACGCUUCUUUUCGUAAUGACUUUAUCAACCACAAUCGAAGAGUAACAAUUAAUCGGAUCAAAAUGAGGGGAUCUUUUAAGAACUAAGUCACCAAAAGUUUUAUCAAUAAUUUUCAAAUCUGCACUGGACUCGGUUUCUAAAAUUUCCUUACCUCGCUUACCUUCGGGAUCAUGUAGUGUGAUUUCAUCUUUGCCUAAGUUGAUCGUAUGAAAGCGUCUUUCAUUUGAGAGGUAUUGAAGUUGAAAGUUAUCUUUCGAUCUUUCAGGAACCUGAAAAGUAGCAACACAAGAAAAAUUCAUAUCUUGGUUAGUGGAAACAUUCCUCACUAGCCUUUCCUCGUCUUUUUCUAACUCAUUUUCUCUUCUUUCUUCAACUUCUUUUUCAAAUUUCUUUUCUGUUUCACAUUCCUUUUCACUCUCAAUCUCUUUUUGCUCUUUUUCAUUCUCUUUUUCUUUUUCCUCACUUGUUUUAACAGAAUUUCUCAGUUUGAUUUGGUCCUCAUGGACUUGUUCCGGAGUGAGCGGCACUAAGGUAAGUUUCUUUCCUUGAUGCUUGAAAGAAUACCUAUUGGUACGACCAUCGUGAGUGACUUUUCGAUCCAGUUGCCACGGUUCUCCUAGCAACAAAUGGCAGGCUUGAAUAGGCAUUACGUCGCACACAACUUCGUCUUGAUACUUACCGAUAGAAAAGGCGAUGCGCACUUGUUGAGUGACCCUAAAUUGGCCUUCGUUGCUAAGCCCUUGUAGUUGAUAAGGUUGUGGAUGCUUGGUAGUGGUUAAGCAAAGCUUUUCCACCAUCGUCGUGCUGGCUAUGUUCGAGCAACUUUCACCAUCAAUAAUAACUCUACAAAGCUUACCUUGUACGUGGCAGCGAGUAUGAAAGAGAUGUUCUCGUUGCUGCUCGCUCUUUGGUUUUGCCAAAGAUGAUUGUCCAUGAUCAUGACAAUCAUCAUCCAUUCUAGGGACACGUUGAGGGUUGCACCUAUGGGGCUGGUUAUCCCUAUCUUCCUUAAUUGGAUCUCGAUAUUGAUGUUUUUGAUUCACUCGUACCUCAUUCAAAGUAGUAUUCAAUGCUUGAAGUGUAGCAUUUAUUUGUGUGAUUGCAGCAGUAUGUCUGUCUAACUGUUGUUGGACUUUCAUAAGUGCAUCAUUAUUAUCACCUUUAGACAUCUUCAAAACCUGUAAAAAAUAAACACUCAACACUCAAAAAUAAAAGUUAGCAAACCUCACCAUUAAUCACUCAAAAAGAAAAAUCAAAUUCUCAAUGAGGUCGAAUUCAAUCUUGUGAGUUCUUUAUCAGAGUUUAUAUCAACCAAUUAGAGAGUGUGAACCAAACUACCAAAGAAUCCUAAUUUGCACUAGGAUGCCAAAAACUGACGAGACACCAAGUGAUUCGUGUUGCACCGAGGAAGGAUUGUGCACACGUUUAAAUCCUACUAACACAAGAAACAAGAAGGUGUUAGAUAUUUUAAAAGGAUAAUAAAAAGCAAACAAAUGAAAACCUACAGCUAAGAAUCAAUAAAAAUUGCUGAAAACAGAAAACCCGAAAAACUGUGGAGUAACUUGAAAACUUCGUUCGAGGUGUUCCCGAUCUCAAAAAAUCACAAAAUUAAAUUUGGAAUGUCUUCAAAUAUUGAAUUUUUGAUCUGGAAAAUUUGGGCACCAAAUUCAACCCGCUGAAUAUUUUUUUUAAUUUUUUAUUGGAUUUCGUAUUUUUCAAUUUUUUUGACUUUUUCGACUUAUUUUUUUGCGGGAAAUAUUUUUGUAUAUUCAAUAACAGUGCCAAAAAUAUGUAUGUAAAAUUUCAGAUCAAUCAGAAAACGUUUACCCACUCAAAUGAAUUUUUUUUCGAAAAUUUUUCUGGGUAAAACUGCUGUUUGUAAUUUAAAAAAUAGAGAUCAGUUUAGAAAUCAACCAAGAACACCCAAAACGCCCAAAAUCUGAUACCAAAUGAUACGGGGUUGCGCGCGGACCAAGAUCGAGUUGUCAAGUCACGGGAAACUCCUACGAAAACCCUAAACAAUUAGAUCCGAAACGAAACAGAAAAAUUAAAAGAUUAGAACUUUGAAUUUCCAGAUCUGAAAUAAAAUCCCCAAAUCAGAAAAGAAUCAAAUUGAGAAUAGAAAUAAGUGUUAGGGUUCUUGAAACCCUCAAGGAGAUUGUGAUUCUGCCCAAUUGAACACCAAGAUAGUUUUUCCUAAAUUUCGACAAUCUAAUUUCACCCAAAAAGAGUAUGGAAAAACCCUAGAAAUUGGGGAUUUUGGGCUGAUUCCUUAAGAUAGAAAAAGGCUGAAAACAAAAUAAGAACAGAAAAUAGAUUAGAUAAUGAUUCAGCACAAGUAGAAAUAAAAAAAAGAAUUGACAGUAAGAAAUUAAAAGAUAAGUCCUAAGAAGCCUUGAAAUCUCGAAAGAUCUCACAACUCCCUUCAAACGGCUCUAAUCUCCCCUCCAAAGAAUAUCAAUGGCAAGAAGAAGGUUGAAGAUGGCUCCCACAAUCACAAGAUUGUUAAAACAACUUCUAAAGAAAACUCAAGAGAGAAAUCUUGGAGAAAACUCAAAGAAAAUUCUGCUCUCAACAAAUCUGAAAUUUUAAUAAUAAUGAUAAGUGUUUAACAAGGUGGACAGCCAUGCCUUUAAAUAGGCCUUAUAACUAGUCCUAAUCUAAUUAGAAAACUAAAAUAAAAAAAACUCCUAAUUAUUUUAAUAUGGAAAUUCGGUCAAAUGUCAUUUUAUCUAGGACUCUUGGACUGAAUAUUGACAUAAAAAUUUAAACUAAGUAAAUAAAUAAAUAAAUAAAUAAAAAUAAAAAUAAAACUUUACAACUUGGGCCACUUUGACAAUUUGGCCUGAUUUUCAACUAAGUAUGGAUGGAUUUCUUGAUUGGGCUGGGAAUUUGCUUAUUGGGCCUCGCCUUCAAGAAUUUGGGCUUUUGUGACUCGUAUC
Molecule: long non-coding RNA, 4319 nt
Filed under: Gossypium barbadense (sea-island cotton)
Lineage: Eukaryota; Viridiplantae; Streptophyta; Magnoliopsida; Malvales; Malvaceae
Description: long non-coding RNA (GBAR_LNC022728)
Source: RNAcentral